GAUCCUGGCUCAGGAUGAACGCUGGCGGCGUGCUUAACACAUGCAAGUCGAGCGAAGCACUUAAGUUUGAUUCUUCGGAUGAAGACUUUUGUGACUGAGCGGCGGACGGGUGAGUAACGCGUGAGGAACCUGCCUCAAAGAGGGGGACAACAGUUGGAAACGACUGCUAAUACCGCAUAAGCCCACAGCUCGGCAUCGAGCAGAGGGAAAAGGAGCAAUCCG
This 222-nucleotide ribosomal RNA is filed under the name uncultured bacterium. RNAcentral's name for it is "partial 16S ribosomal RNA". It matches the Rfam family "Bacterial small subunit ribosomal RNA", at positions 15 to 217 of the family's 1533-position model. The record is from RNAcentral.